CAGAGAUGGAGACGGGAAAUAAUGGGAAAUGGAAGUCUCCACAGUCUCUGCAAACUUAAAAGAUAAAUUAACGGACGGAGGAGAAGGUCCUUUUUAUUCUUCGAGACCUUCAUCCGUAGAAAAUGGAGAAAUUUCAGGUUAAUCGAAUUUUAGAGUCUAGUGAAAACCAUAAUGUAAAUCGAUAAUUAGGAUAUCCUAUUUUUGGUUAAUUAUAUAUAUAUAUAUAUAUAUAUAUAUAUUUUUUUUUUUUUAACGAGGUGUCCCAACUUACGCCAGACUAUAUCCUCGUCCCUGAACUUCCGGCCCCUCAGCAGCUCAAGGAGGUAAAUCGCGGGAUGUGCCCAAGUUGACCAGGGUUCGAACAGCCUUUAUACUCCUGGCCCCAAGGGAUCCUCCUCCAUGGUUAUUACAUCACCAAACUGUUCCAACCCUUCCUCUGGUUAUUAC
This 447-nucleotide long non-coding RNA is filed under the name Olea europaea (common olive). Its description in RNAcentral is "long non-coding RNA (OEUR_LNC015331)". The record is from RNAcentral. Lineage: Eukaryota; Viridiplantae; Streptophyta; Magnoliopsida; Lamiales; Oleaceae.